AUGCUUUUGACUACUGGGGAAAAGGCACAAUGGUCACUGUCACAGCAGCCACUUCAACUGCACCCACUGUGUUUCCUCUGGUACCAUGUGGUUCUGAGACUGGAGAUAUGGUCACUCUUGGCUGCCUUGCCACCGGCUUUAACCCUCCUGCGGUGACUUUCUCGUGGACCAAAGGCGGCACUGCCUUGACAGACUUCAUCCAGUACCCUGCAGUACAGAAAGGCGAUGCUUAUACUGGAGUCAGUCAAGUCCGAGUGAGGAGACAGGACUGGAAUACACAACAGACUUUAAAAUGUGUUGUGAAUCAUGCUGCUGGGAAUGCACAGACUGCAGUCGAUCCUGUCACACCACCACCGCCAUUUAAGCAGAAUCCAACUCUUAAAGUGUUUUCCUCCUCUUCUGAUGAGGACGGUACCUAUACUGCCUCCUGCUUUGCCAAAGAGUUUGCACCAAAGAACCAUAACUUAAAAUGGCUGAAAGAUGGAGCAGACAUCACCGGCAAAAUAGAUCUGACCGAAACAGUUUCUGAUUCAAAAAAUGCAGCUGGAAAAAUAGUGUACAAUGCAGCAAGUUUUCUCACAGUAAAUUCCACUGGCCUGAAAGAGAAGACUGUAUUUAUGUGUCUCUUUACCGGAGGAGAAGAUGCAUCUUUGAAUAAAACUGUGGCUUACAAAGACAAUACACCAGAUUCUAAACCAUGUAGUUCGUCAGAUGUGAAGGCACAAAUCUUUGGCCCCACAACCAAGGACAUGCUUUUAAAUAAAAAAGGAACUAUAACAUGUAAAGUCAUGGCAGAAAAUAAAAAACUCAAUAUAACUUGGGAAGAUGAGAAAGGAAUUGACAUGGUGAAUAAGCCAAUGACUCCAGUCGAUGGCAUUCGGAACGCAUACAAAUCUGAACUUGACAUCACCUAUGAUGAAUGGACCAAUGGGGUAAAACGCGUCUGUGUUGUUCACCACCAAGAUUUGAUUGAGCCUUUGAGGGAGACUUAUAAAAGGGAUUUCGGAGGAAACCCUCAGCGUCCGUCAGUGUUUAUGCUCCCUGCUUUAGAACAAACUAACAAAGCAGAGGUGACCCUGACUUGCUUUGUGAAAGACUUCUUCCCUAAGGACGUUUUUGUGUCUUGGCUUGUGGAUGACGAGGAAGCAGACUCAAGUUAUGCUUUUAAUACCACAGAACCCAUUGAAAACAAUGGAUUCUAUUCUGCGUAUGGCCAGUUAUUUGUCAGCCUUCACGAGUGGCAAAACAAUGAUGCUGUCUAUAGCUGUGUAGUGUACCACGAAUCUGUGGUUAACACAACUAAAGCUAUUGUCAGGUCCAUUGGGUACAGAACAUUUGACAAAAACCGCAUUGACCUCAACAUGAACAUCAACCAAGACUCCAAGUGCUCGCUCCAGUAGAUGUUUCUCAUGUCUCUGUCUGCUGUCUGCUGUUUAAUGUCUGUUGCUUGUGAUAUGACAUUGUGUUUGUGUGUUUUAAUGCAGAUUCAAAAUAAAAAAAAAAAAACA
Molecule: non-coding RNA, 1508 nt
Organism: Pelmatolapia mariae (spotted tilapia)
Lineage: Eukaryota; Metazoa; Chordata; Actinopteri; Cichliformes; Cichlidae
Source: the annotation of a RefSeq genome assembly